This 74-nucleotide transfer RNA is filed under the name Eggerthia catenaformis OT 569 = DSM 20559. It matches the Rfam family "tRNA". Rfam says of the family: Transfer RNA (tRNA) molecules are approximately 80 nucleotides in length. RNAcentral also lists the same sequence under 1 other name. Lineage: Bacteria; Bacillati; Bacillota; Erysipelotrichia; Erysipelotrichales; Coprobacillaceae. The record is from Rfam by way of RNAcentral.
GCGCUAGUAGCUCAAUUGGAUAGAGUGCUUGACUACGGAUCAAGAGGUUACGGGUUCGACUCCUGUCUAGCGCG